Molecule: ribosomal RNA, 253 nt
Filed under: uncultured bacterium
Lineage: Bacteria
Description: partial 16S ribosomal RNA
Rfam family: Bacterial small subunit ribosomal RNA
Source: RNAcentral
UACGUAGGGGGCAAGCGUUGUCCGGAUUCAUUGGGCGUAAAGUGUGCGCAGGCGGCCGAGCAAGUCGAGUGUGAAAGCCCCGAGCUUAACUUGGGAACUGCGCUCGAAACUACUUGGCUAGAGUGUGGCAGAGGGAGGUGGAAUUCCACGUGUAGCGGUGAGAUGCGUAGAGAUGUGGAGGAACACCGAUGGCGAAGGCAGCCUCCUGGGCCAACACUGACGCUCAUGCACGAAAGCGUGGGGAGCAAACAGG